Molecule: ribosomal RNA, 465 nt
Filed under: Vreelandella stevensii
Lineage: Bacteria; Pseudomonadati; Pseudomonadota; Gammaproteobacteria; Oceanospirillales; Halomonadaceae
Description: partial 16S ribosomal RNA
Rfam family: Bacterial small subunit ribosomal RNA
Source: RNAcentral
CCUACGGGGAGCUGCAGUGGGGAAUAUUGGACAAUGGGGGGAACCCUGAUCCAGCCAUGCCGCGUGUGUGAAGAAGGCCCUCGGGUUGUAAAGCACUUUCAGUGAGGAAGAACGCCUGGUGGUUAAUACCCAUCAGGAAAGACAUCACUCACAGAAGAAGCACCGGCUAACUCCGUGCCAGCAGCCGCGGUAAUACGGAGGGUGCGAGCGUUAAUCGGAAUUACUGGGCGUAAAGCGCGCGUAGGUGGCUUGAUAAGCCGGUUGUGAAAGCCCCGGGCUCAACCUGGGAACGGCAUCCGGAACUGUCAAGCUAGAGUGCAGGAGAGGAAGGUAGAAUUCCCGGUGUAGCGGUGAAAUGCGUAGAGAUCGGGAGGAAUACCAGUGGCGAAGGCGGCCUUCUGGACUGACACUGACACUGAGGUGCGAAAGCGUGGGUAGCAAACAGGAUUAGAUACCCCAGUAGUC